Molecule: long non-coding RNA, 6715 nt
Filed under: Homo sapiens (human)
Lineage: Eukaryota; Metazoa; Chordata; Mammalia; Primates; Hominidae
Description: novel transcript
Source: RNAcentral
UUUACAAAAUGAUGAAAAAUAAUCCCAAAAUUCAUAUGGAACCAAAAAAGAGCCUACAUAGCCAAAAGAAGACUAACCAAAAAGAAUAAAUCUGGUGACAUCACAUUACCUAACUUCAAACUAUUCUGUAACACCAUAGUCACUAAAACAGCAUGAUACUGGUAUAAAAAUAGGCACAUAGACCAAUGGAACAGCAUAGAGAACCCAGAAUUAAAGCCAAAUACUUACAGCCAGCUGAUCUUCAACAAAGUGAGGAAAGGACACCCUAUUCAACACAUAGUGCUGGGAUAAUUGGCUAGCCACAUUUAGGAGAAUGAAACUGGAUCCUUAUCUCUCACCUUAUACAAAAAUCAACUCAAGAUGGAUCAAGAACUUAAGACCUGAAGCCUUAAAAAUUCUAGAAGAUAACAUUGGAAAAACCCUUCUAGACAUUGGCUUAGGCAAAGACUUCAUGACCAAGAAGCUCAAAACAAAUGCAACAAAAACAAAAGAUAAAUAGAUGGGACUUAACUAAACUAAAAAGCUUUUGCACAGCAAAAGAAAUAAUUAGCAGAGUUAACAGACAACACACAGAGUGGGAGAAAAUCUUCACAACCUACACAUCCAACAAAGGACUAAUAUUCAGAAUCUACAAAGAACUCAAAUCAGUAAGAAAAAAACCAAUCCCAUAAAAAAGUGGGCUAAGGACACGAAUAGACAAUUCUCAAAAGAAAAUAUACAAAUGGCCAACAAGCAUAUGGAAAAAUGCUCAACAUCCCUAAUGAUCAGGGAAAUGCAAAUCAAAACCACAACGCGAUAUCACCUCAUUCCUAUAAGAAUGGCAAUAUUAAAAAAAUUAAAAAAUAAUAGAUGUCAGCAUGGAUGUGGUGGAAAGGGAACACUUUUAUAGUGUUGAUACUAAUGUAAACUAGUACAACCACUAUGGAAAACGGUGUGGAGAUUGCUUAAAGAACUAAAAGUAGAUCUACCAUUUGAUCCAACAACCCCAUUCCUCAGUAUCUACCCAGAGGAAAAGAAGUCAUUAUACAAAAAAGAUACUUGUACACAUGUUUAUAGCAGCAAAAUUCAUAAUUGUGAAAAUAUGGAACCAGCCCAAAUGCCCAUCAAUCAAUGAGUGGAUAAAGAAAACGUGAUAUGUACACACACACCCCAUGGAAUACUACUCAGCCAUAAAAAGGAGCAAACUGGAUGGAAUUGGAGACCAUUCUUCUAAUUGCAGCAACCUGGAUGGAAUUGGAGACCAUUCUUCUAAGUGAAGUAGCUCAAGAAUGGAAAACCAAACAUCAUAUGUUCUCAUAUGUGGGAACUAAGCUAUGAGAAUGUAAAGGCAGAAGAAUGAUACAGGGGACUUUGGGGACUCAGCGGAAAUGGUGGGAAGGGAGUGAGAAAUAAAAGACUACACAUUGAGUACAGUGUACACUGCUCGGGUGAGGGAUGCACCAAAAUCUCAAAAAUCACCACUAAAGAACUUAUUUAUAUAACCAAACACCACCUGUUCCUUAAAAACCUAUUGAAAUAAAAAGUAAAUUUAAAAAAACCUCCUGGAUUCAUUGAUUUUUUUGAAGGUUUUUUUGUGUCUCUAUUUCAGUUCAGCCCUGAUCUUGGUUAUUUCUUGUCUUCUGCUAGCUUGGGAGUUUGUUUCCUCUUGGUUCUCUAGUCAUUUUAGUUGUAAUAUUAGGUUGUUAACUUGAGAUCUUUCUCUCUUUUUGAUGUGGGCAUUUAAUGCUAUAAAUUUUCCUCUUAACACUGCUUUAGCUGAGUCCUGGAGAUUCUGUUAUGUUGUCUCUUUGUUCUAAUUAGUUUUAAAACACUUCUUGAUCUCUGCCAUAAUUUUAUUAUUUACCCCAAAGUCAUUCAGGAGCAGAUUGUUCAAUUUCCAUAUAGUUGUGUGGUUUUAAGUGAAUUUCUUAAUCUUGAGUUCUAAUUUGAUUUUGCUGUGGUCUGAGAGACUCUUUGUUAUGAUUUCAGUUAUUUUUCAUUUGCUGAGGAGUGUUUUUCUUCCUAAUUUAUGAUUAGUUUUAGGGUAAGUGUCAUGUGGCUAUGAGAAGAAUGUAUAUUCGCUUGUUUUUUGUUGGAGAGUUCUGUAGAUAACUAUCAUGUCUACUUGAUCCACAGCUGAGUUCAGGUCCUGAAUAUCUUUGUUAAUUUUCUGUCUCCAUGAUGUGUCUAAUAUUGUCAUUGUGGUGUUAAAGUCUCCCACUAUUAUUGUGUGGGAGUCUAAGUCUCUUUGAAGGUCUCCAAUAACUUGCUUUAUGGACCUGGGUGCUCUUGUAUAGGGUGCAUAUAUAUUUAGGAUAGUUAACUCUUCUGGUUGAAUUGAACCCUUUACCAACAGGUAGUGCUCUUCUUUCUCUUUUUUGAUCUUUGUUAAUUUAAAGUCUGUUUUGUUAGAAACUAGGAUUGCAAGCUCUGUUUUUUUCUGCUUUCUGUUUGCUUGGUAAAUUUUCCUCCAUCCCUUUAUUUUUAGCCUAUGUGUUUCUUUGUGUGUGAGAUGGGUCUCUUGAAUACAGCAUACUGAUGGGUCUUGGUUCUUUAUCUAGCUUGCCAUUCUGUGUCUUUCAUUGGAGAACACAUUGAGAUUUAAGAGUUUGGAGAAUCUGAUGAUUAUGUGUCUCGGGGAUGAUCUCCUCGUGGAGUAUCUCACUGGAGUUCUCUGGAUUUCUUGAAUUUGAGUGUUGGCCUGUCUUGCUAGAACUAACUUGGGGAAGUUAGUUCUCUUGGAUCCUAUGCUGAAAAAGAUCGUCUUCAAGCUCUGAGAUUCUUUUCUUGGCCUAUUCUGCUGUUAGUAAUUGUGAUUUCAUUGUGAAGUUCUUGUAGUGUGUUUUUCAGCUCUAACAGGUAAAUAUAAAUGUAGGUGCAUAAUAUAGACUUUUUCUGAAUGGUUUAUAAGUUGCAGUGCUGGGAUUACAAGCGUGAGCUACCACACCCAGCGAGGAAGCCAAGUUUAACGUGUGUGCUCCACUCCUCCAACCUGGCCAAAGGGCAGUCAUCAUCACUGGCCACUACUGACCACAGCCUUUAGAAACUCCCCUUGAACGUGCUGGGCUGACCUUCCUCUGAUCACAGGCAAGGCAAAGGAAAAUGACAGGCCCUUGCCUUCCCGGUCCUCAAGGGUCAGCUGUAAGAUGAUGUCAUAAAGCCGGAUCAGGUCCUGGGGCCGGGGGAAGCACUUGCUGUCAUCCUCUGGCUGCUGCUGCAGCAGAGCCCUCUGCAGACCUUUGGCCAUGCUCUCAUUACGCUUGAUUGCCAUUGACAGCUUGAUGUAAGUCAGGUGAACAAAUAGAAGCUGAGGGUGAAGGACCUACAGCUGUCACCUUCAUCUCUUCUCAACACUGCCAACUGUCCCCUUGGAUUUCCCAGACAGACAACAAGGGACAUCUCUGGUUUCUCGGUGCCCCCUAGAAACCUCGGGUCAUUUCAAGGCAUUAUGCAAAUGAGAAGCUUUCCUUCUCUUCACCUCAUCUCCUGAUCUGCACAAAAGUGACUGUAGGACCCAGUGUUGUAGAUGAGCAUGAGAGUGUGGAGCAGAGUUGGCGAGUGCAAGUCGAGCCCAUCAACCUGGACAGCUGUCUCCGUGCUUUCACCAGUGAGGAAGAGCUAGGGGAAGAUGAGAUGUACUACUGUUCCAAGUGUAAGACCCACUGCUUAGCAACAAAGAAGCUGGAUCUCUGGAGGCUUCCACCCUUCCUGAUUAUUCACCUUAAGUGAUUUCAAUUUGUAAAUGAUCAGUGGAUAAAAUCACAGAAAAUUGUCAAAUUUCCUCGGGAAAGUUUUGAUCCGAGUGCUUUUUUGGUACCACGAGACCCAGCUCUCUGCCAGCAUCAACCACUCACACCCCAGGGGGAUGAGCUCUCCAAGCCCAGGAUUCUGGCAAGAGAGGUGAAGAAAGUGGAUGUGCAGAGUUUGGCUGGGGAAGAGGACAUGCUCCUGAGCAAAAGCCCAUCCUCACUCAGCGCUAACAUCAGCAGCAGCCCAAAAGGUUCUCCUUCUUCAUCAAGAAAAAGUGGAACCAGCUGUCCCUCCAGCAAAAACAGCAGCCCUAAUAGCAGCCCACGGACUUUGGGGAGGAGCAAAGGGAGGCUCCGGCUGCCCCAGAUUGGCAGCAAAAAUAAACUGUCAAGUAGUAAGAAGAACUUGGAUGCCAGCAAAGAGAAUGGGGCUGGGCAGAUCUGUGAGCUGGCUGACGCCUUGAGCCGAGGGCAUAUGCGGUGGGGGCAGCCAACCAGAGCUGGUCACUCCUCAGGACCACGAGGUAGCUUUGGCCAAUGGAUUCCUUUAUGAGCAUGAAGCAUGUGGCAAUGGCUACAGCAAUGGUCAGCUUGGAAACCACAGUGAAGAAGACAGCACUGAUGACCAAAGAGAAGACACUCAUAUUAAGCCUAUUUAUAAUCUAUAUGCAAUUUCAUGCCAUUCAGGAAUUCUGAGUGGGGGCCGUUACGUCACUUAUGCGAAAAACCCAAACUGCAAGUGGUACUGCUACAAUGGCAGCAUCUGUGAGGAACGUCACCCUGAUGAAAUUGACACCGACUCUGCCUACAUUCUUUUCUAUGAGCAGCAGAGGAUAGACUACGCACAAUUUCUGCCAAAGAUUGAUGGCAAAAAGAUGGCAGACACAAGCAGUAUGGAUGAAGACUUUGAGUCUGAUUACAAAAAGUACUGUGUGUUACAGUAAAGCUACCACUCUGGCUGCUAGACAGCUUGGUUGGGAGGAAGAUGACUCCUUGUAGCUGAUACUUGGCAAAAGUGUCACUGAGAGGCAAGCUAAAUGUAGUUAUUUUAUCCUGUUAGAAUACAAAUUCUAAUUAAAAUAGUUAACUUUAAGAGUAGCAGUAAUUUUAUUUUGAAGUCUCAUGCAAGUUGUCCGAUAGAGAACUUUCAGGCAGAUCCCACCAUUAGCCUGUAAACAAAAGGUUUGGCACCAGCCACCUGGGACCAAAUAAGAAUUCAAUUGUGCUUGUCCAGAUAUGAACAAAUAUGUAGUGAGUAUAGAGUUUAUCAAUAAUCAUAACAAAUAUUAAAGAUUUCCUUGGAGUCAAAGUAAAAAACAAAAAAUUGUAAUGUUGUCUAGGGAUGACAUGAUAUGCUACCUCCUUUUUCCUGAAGUUUUAUUCCAUUCUGUUGACAAGAUGGUGAAAGCAAGAUCAUGAAGGUGUGCAAAUGAUUCUUACGGCAUGGGCGAGGAUUUUUCAAUUUAUUUUUUAAAGUUUCCAUACCCUUUCUUUGUCUUUCUUGCUUUUUGUUUUUGCCGUUGUGUUUAAGUUUGAGACACAACCAGUCAUUGGUGGCAGGGGCAUAGAGUGGUCAGUCUGAAAGGGAGGCUCUCUUAAGAGCUAUGUGCCUUCUACUCAGAGGGAGACCCAGUAGAAAGAAAAACAUCCUGGGAAAUCCAGCUACCAUGGCCCUCCCAGUGGAGGCAUCUUACAUUUAGGAUACUUCAGGUAUCCUCAGAAAUGUAUUCUGCACCCCCGGCCCCGCCCAUGCUGAGGGAAGGGGAGCAGUUGCCAAUAUUUGCACCAUCUUCACAUGCACAUGUUGCAACAAGAGCUUCUGGGAAGGUAAGCGGCAUCGGAGCUAGAUCACGUUUCACAAUUAGUGGUGGUUCUUUUCCAUGUUUAUUUUGCACUUUAAAAAAGAGAGAACACAUGCAAAUGAACUUGCUUGUGUGUAUUUGAUGGCUCCAAGGGCUAUGAAUUACAAACAAAACACAUCCCAGACAUUAGGAGUUCAUAAGUAUAUUUAAUGAAAUUGGUGGUUUUAGGAAGUCAACUUUAGUUUUGCUUUGUUUGCAUGUCCACUAAUUUUUUUAUUUUGAUAUUAGUCUUUUUAAAAAAAUUUUACAGUAGUCAUUGAAAGUUAUGUUUCUUUGUUUACUUCAUUUUUUCCUCUAAUUAUUCAAGACUGGGACAAAAGUAUAAAUAUUAUUUAUUUCAGGUAGAAUUUUUUUCAUGUAGUUUUUUAAUAUAUACUUGAAGGAAAUGUUUCACCUUAUUUUUGGUCUUUGUUUAUUCAUUUAGACCCUGCAAGUUGAUUCUCAUUAAUUGUCAGAUUCCACUACACUUUCUUCCUCAUAGGUAGUAAUUACCAGUGUAACUAAGCAUUUGUGUUCUGAUAUCUGAGGCCAGUAACUAUUAAUAUCUAGUUCUCAGAGCAUUUGGAAAGGUUAUCUUAAAUGGCUACCUAAAUUGAAAUCCUUUUCAGAAAAAAUAUAAUUGCAAAUAGGUAGGAGUGGCCUAAAUUAUCUAAUGUAAUAAAGUCAGACAAAAUGCAUACUUUAUAGUUUCAAGAUUUUCAGUAUAUAAAAUCUGUCCUUUCCUACCUGGACAUGUCCCAUUAAAAAGUGGAAGAUCUUAAAUAAUUUCUUUACAGAUGUUUUAUUUAAGCAGGUAGCACAAUCUACUAAUGUUGUUUGAUCUGUGUUUGUUAUACUGGUUGUAAUUAAUUUUUUUAAUUCAUGAACUAGCGGAAAAUUUAUUAAAUUAACUAUUAACCACAUUCACCUUGUAAAUGACUGUAUAAAACUUGUUGACAAUGCACUGACUUUAGAAAGAUGUUAAUGUGCAUAAAUAGAGUGUAAAUAAAAUAGUGUUGAUGUACUGAAAUAUGAACUGUAUAAAAAGUAUUGGUAAUUGUAUAUGGGGUGUACCUAUUUAUCUGUAACUGUUAUCCAAACAAAUUAAAUACUGUGGAUGCCUCUAUGUACUGUUUUUCCUCAUAC